This 426-nucleotide long non-coding RNA is filed under the name Homo sapiens (human). Its description in RNAcentral is "non-protein coding lnc-USP6-4:13". Lineage: Eukaryota; Metazoa; Chordata; Mammalia; Primates; Hominidae. The record is from RNAcentral.
AUUCAUAGUAAGGAAAAACAGACAAGGGGAAAGCUAUUAGAUUCUCGGUGCUGCUAAACAGGACACACAAGGACACCAUUUUGUGAUGAUGAUGGUGCUUUAUGCAGCUUCCACCAUUUACAAGAUUUUCCUGUGGUGUGGAACCUCUCAUGAUAAAGCAAAGGAACUAGAAGCUUAUUCCAGUCAAGAUUUCUGAUUUAUCUUGUGGGUUAUGAUUCUGUAUGGUUUCUUUGGUGCUGCAUUAGACCUGAGCUCUGAUUGAAAAUUCUUCCACGCUCGCUACAUUCCAAAACUUUAUCUCCAAUAUGAAUUUCCAGAUGCCUCACAAGGUCUGAGCUCCAUCUGAAGGCUUUCCCAUGCUUGUCACAUUCAUAGGGCUUUUCUCCACUAUGAAUUCUAUGAUGUCGAAUAAAGUGUGAGCUCUGA